Molecule: non-coding RNA, 1256 nt
Organism: Salvia hispanica
Lineage: Eukaryota; Viridiplantae; Streptophyta; Magnoliopsida; Lamiales; Lamiaceae
Source: RefSeq, a predicted model, not a curated record
UGGUCAGGGCAGUCAAGCUAUGGCUCUUGUUGCUUGUGCAACUUCAUCACAGUCAGGAGUCCCACCACCUUCCAAUGCCAUUCCUAAUAACGCUAAUUUUCAGGCAUCUAAUCCUGCGUCUCCUUUGCCGUCAAUUCAUGGCAUUGGAUCUCCUGCACAAUCAGGUGCUGAGCCAUCCACGCUGUCUCCGAUGAAGUCAAAUGAUGUCAUCUGUACUGGUCAACAGUCAGCGAGGGCCAAUAUAUCAGUCAGGGAAAAUGUUAUAAGCAGUUUACGUCAACUUUCCUGCAAGAUAAUUUUGAUUAGCCUUGAGUCUAAUCUAAUGCCAGUCACACGCUUCGAUAUCUUUAACCACAUGUUAAAUUGGCUUGUCAAUUGGGAUCAAAGACAGCAAGGGCUUGAUGAAUUUGAUAGUGCACAGUUCUGGAAGCCCGAUAAGGCCCUAAUUGAGUGGUUACAUGAUUGUCUAGAUGUUAUUUGGCUGUUAGUUGAUGAUAAUAAAUGCCGUGUGCCCUUUUACGAGCUCAUACGCAGUGGUUUGCAAUUUAUUGAGAACAUACCAGAUGAUGAGGCACUGUUUACCCUUAUCUUGGAAAUUCAUAGAAGGAGAGAUAUGAUGGCAACCCACAUGCAAAUGUUAGAUCAACAUCUACAUUGCCCUACAUUUGGAACUCCUCGACUCUUACCUCAGGCAACUACCACUGGUGAGACAGUGACAAACAUGAGAUAUUCACCAAUCACAUAUCCAAGUGUACUUGGAGAACCUUUGCAUGGAGAGGAACUUGCAGCAUCCAUUCAGAGAGGAAGUCUUGACUGGGAGCGAGCUAUGCGAUGUCUGAGACAUGCCUUUCGCAACACUCCAUCUCCAGACUGGUGGAGACGUGUAUUGCUUGUAGCACCCUGCCACAGGACUCAGGCCCAAGGACCUACACCAGGUGCUGUUUUUACUUCGGAAAUGAUUAGCGAGGCAACAAUUGAUAGGAUUGUGGAAUUGCUGAAGUUGACAAAUGCAGAAACAAAUUGCUGGCAGGAGUGGCUUAUUGUUUCUGAUGUAUUCUUUUCUCAUGAAGCAUGGAUGCAUUGAUUUUGUUGAUUUUGUUGACAAACUAGUGUGUCGACUUCAAGACGGUGAUCAACAUAUCCUCAGGACCAAUCAUGUUACAUGGUUGCUUGCACAAAUUAUCCGUGUUGAGCUUGUAAUGAAUGCUCUAAAUACAGACUCAAGAAAGGUGGAGACAACCCGGAAAAUUCUUUCA